GGGUUGUGAGGUUAAGCGACUAAGCGUACACGGUGGAUGCCCUGGCAGUCAGAGGCGAUGAAGGACGUGCUAAUCUGCGAAAAGCGUCGGUAAGGUGAUAUGAACCGUUAUAACCGGCGAUGUCCGAAUGGGGAAACCCAGUGCAAUUCGUUGCACUAUCGUUAACUGAAUACAUAGGUUAACGAGGCGAACCGGGGGAACUGAAACAUCUAAGUACCCCGAGGAAAAGAAAUCAACCGAGAUUCCCCCAGUAGCGGCGAGCGAACGGGGAGCAGCCCAGAGUCUGAAUCAGCUUGUGUGUUAGUGGAACGGUCUGGAAAGUCCGACGGUACAGGGUGAUAGUCCCGUACACCAAAAUGCACAGGUUGUGAACUCGAAGAGUAGGGCGGGACACGUGGUAUCCUGUCUGAAUAUGGGGGGACCAUCCUCCAAGGCUAAAUACUCCUGACUGACCGAUAGUGAACCAGUACCGUGAGGGAAAGGCGAAAAGAACCCCGGCGAGGGGAGUGAAAAAGAACCUGAAACCGUGUACGUACAAGCAGUGGGAGCACCUUCGGGUGUGACUGCGUACCUUUUGUAUAAUGGGUCAGCGACUUAUAUUCUGUAGCAAGGUUAACCGUAUAGGGGAGCCGCAGGGAAACCGAGUCUUAACUGGGCGUUAAGUUGCAGGGUAUAGACCCGAAACCCGGUGAUCUAGCCAUGGGCAGGUUGAAGGUUGGGUAACACUAACUGGAGGACCGAACCGACUAAUGUUGAAAAAUUAGCGGAUGACUUGUGGCUGGGGGUGAAAGGCCAAUCAAACCGGGAGAUAGCUGGUUCUCCCCGAAAGCUAUUUAGGUAGCGCCUCGUGAACUCAUCUUCGGGGGUAGAGCACUGUUUCGGCUAGGGGGUCAUCCCGACUUACCAACCCGAUGCAAACUACGAAUACCGAAGAAUGUUAUCACGGGAGACACACGGCGGGUGCUAACGUCCGUCGUGAAGAGGGAAACAACCCAGACCGCCAGCUAAGGUCCCAAAGUCAUGGUUAAGUGGGAAACGAUGUGGGAAGGCACAGACAGCCAGGAUGUUGGCUUAGAAGCAGCCAUCAUUUAAAGAAAGCGUAAUAGCUCACUGGUCGAGUCGGCCUGCGCGGAAGAUGUAACGGGGCUAAACCAUGCACCGAAGCUGCGGCAGCGACACUAUGUGUUGUUGGGUAGGGGAGCGUUCUGUAAGCCUGCGAAGGUGUGCUGUGAGGCAUGCUGGAGGUAUCAGAAGUGCGAAUGCUGACAUAAGUAACGAUAAAGCGGGUGAAAAGCCCGCUCGCCGGAAGACCAAGGGUUCCUGUCCAACGUUAAUCGGGGCAGGGUGAGUCGACCCCUAAGGCGAGGCCGAAAGGCGUAGUCGAUGGGAAACAGGUUAAUAUUCCUGUACUUGGUGUUACUGCGAAGGGGGGACGGAGAAGGCUAUGUUAGCCGGGCGACGGUUGUCCCGGUUUAAGCAUGUAGGCUGAUUGUCCAGGCAAAUCCGGAUAAUCAAGGCUGAGGUGUGAUGACGAGGCACUACGGUGCUGAAGUAACAAAUGCCCUGCUUCCAGGAAAAGCCUCUAAGCAUCAGGUAACAUUAAAUCGUACCCCAAACCGACACAGGUGGUCAGGUAGAGAAUACCAAGGCGCUUGAGAGAACUCGGGUGAAGGAACUAGGCAAAAUGGUGCCGUAACUUCGGGAGAAGGCACGCUGGUGUGUAGGUGAAGCCCCUGCGGGUGGAGCUGAGACCAGUCGAAGAUACCAGCUGGCUGCAACUGUUUAUUAAAAACACAGCACUGUGCAAACACGAAAGUGGACGUAUACGGUGUGACGCCUGCCCGGUGCCGGAAGGUUAAUUGAUGGGGUUAUCCGUAAGGAGAAGCUCUUGAUCGAAGCCCCGGUAAACGGCGGCCGUAACUAUAACGGUCCUAAGGUAGCGAAAUUCCUUGUCGGGUAAGUUCCGACCUGCACGAAUGGCGUAAUGAUGGCCAGGCUGUCUCCACCCGAGACUCAGUGAAAUUGAACUCGCUGUGAAGAUGCAGUGUACCCGCGGCAAGACGGAAAGACCCCGUGAACCUUUACUAUAGCUUGACACUGAACAUUGAGCCUUGAUGUGUAGGAUAGGUGGGAGGCUUUGAAGCGUGGACGCCAGUCUGCGUGGAGCCAACCUUGAAAUACCACCCUUUAAUGUUUGAUGUUCUAACGUUGGCCCCUUACCGGGGUUGCGGACAGUGUCUGGUGGGUAGUUUGACUGGGGCGGUCUCCUCCCAAAGCGUAACGGAGGAGCACGAAGGUUAGCUAAUCCUGGUCGGACAUCAGGAGGUUAGUGCAAUGGCAUAAGCUAGCUUGACUGCGAGCGUGACGGCGCGAGCAGGUGCGAAAGCAGGUCAUAGUGAUCCGGUGGUUCUGAAUGGAAGGGCCAUCGCUCAACGGAUAAAAGGUACUCCGGGGAUAACAGGCUGAUACCGCCCAAGAGUUCAUAUCGACGGCGGUGUUUGGCACCUCGAUGUCGGCUCAUCACAUCCUGGGGCUGAAGUAGGUCCCAAGGGUAUGGCUGUUCGCCAUUUAAAGUGGUACGCGAGCUGGGUUUAGAACGUCGUGAGACAGUUCGGUCCCUAUCUGCCGUGGGCGCUGGAGAAUUGAGGGGGGCUGCUCCUAGUACGAGAGGACCGGAGUGGACGCAUCACUGGUGUUCGGGUUGUCAUGCCAAUGGCACUGCCCGGUAGCUAAAUGCGGAAGAGAUAAGUGCUGAAAGCAUCUAAGCACGAAACUUGCCCCGAGAUGAGUUCUCCCUGAGACUUUAAGUCUCCUGAAGGAACGUUAAAGACGAUGACGUUGAUAGGCCGGGUGUGUAAGCGCAGCGAUGCGUUGAGCUAACCGGUACUAAUGAACCGUGAGGCUUAACCUUACAACGCCGAAG
RNAcentral lists this ribosomal RNA (2923 nucleotides) under Klebsiella pneumoniae. RNAcentral's name for it is "23S ribosomal RNA". It matches the Rfam family "Bacterial large subunit ribosomal RNA". The record is from RNAcentral. Lineage: Bacteria; Pseudomonadati; Pseudomonadota; Gammaproteobacteria; Enterobacterales; Enterobacteriaceae.